GUCCACGCUGUAAACGAUGAGUGCUAAGUGUUAGAGGGUUUCCGCCCUUUAGUGCUGAAGUUAACGCAUUAAGCACUCCGCCUGGGGAGUACGGUCGCAAGACUGAAACUCAAAGGAAUUGACGGGGGCCCGCACAAGUGGUGGAGCAUGUGGUUUAAUUCGAAGCAACGCGAAGAACCUUACCAGGUCUUGACAUCCUCUGACAACCCUAGAGAUAGGGCUUUCCCUUCGGGGACAGAGUGACAGGUGGUGCAUGGUUGUCGU
Molecule: ribosomal RNA, 264 nt
Filed under: uncultured bacterium
Lineage: Bacteria
Description: partial 16S ribosomal RNA
Rfam family: Bacterial small subunit ribosomal RNA
Source: RNAcentral